UUUUUUGGUAAAAAAAAAAAAAAUGUUUCUACACAGGGUUUUCUUUUCCUCGUGUCCCUCCCCUCGCGCUGCCCACUCUUCUCUUUUCUCUAGCUUUGCUUCCUCACGCUACUGAGGAACUGAAGCCACGCCGCCAUCGAGCACUAGUUUCGGUUCGAAGUCACUGUCCGUCCGCGUCGAUCUCAGCCUUGCCAUCCGGAUCCGAAGGGACAAUGAUGCAGAUAACUCAUCAAUUUUUUUAGGAGAUGAGGCUUCCUUUCAGAAAAAAGAAACAGAGUUGGCCAAAAGAUAAGUAUUUGUUAAGAACAAGUUUAUUAUAAUUCAAAACAAGUUUCCUGAAUUAGUUUACAUGUGUGAAGCUUCCUACUGCUUUUGAAUUGUUUUAGGAGUCAUUACGACAUGCCAUAAGGAGUCCUGAUAUAUAUGAAACAUUAUUACAUGCUGUAAUGAUUAGGUCCCCCUCUCAUAUAUAUCAAUCAAAGUUUAAUGCUAGGUGUCUUGGUACUGCCAAAUGGGGUCAAUUUGAGUCUGCUGCAUAUGCCUUGUAUGGUUGAGCUUGACUUGAUUGUAGAAAUUAAUAAAUUUAUCAAAACAAAUAAUUAAACGAUUGAACAAUCUUAUAGUGGUUAUUGAAUUUAAAAUAUAUAUUAAUUUAGGAUCAAGAUGGAUGAUCCAUUUGGUUUUUAUAUUGUUGAUUAAUGAUUCCAGUUUGCAGACCAAGAACGUCGUUAAUCAACACAAUUGAAUCCAAAAUUUUCUUAUUUUAAUAAUAAAGUAUGGUUGGUGAGAGAUUUGGGUUCAAACUCAAUAUGAUAUAAUAUAUUUGUAUGUGGAAUAGGUCCAGUUGCCUUUUUAUUUGAAAACUGUAGCUGAACGUGGAAGCAAGGAAUCUCUCAUUUGACAGCCUUAUUCAUUUUUCUUUUUUUGUUGUUGUAUUGUUGUCUUUACAAAUGGUGUAAGUGAACUUUCUACACUGGUUAUUGAACCAAGGGUGGAGCCAAGAUUUAAGAAUAAAGGGGGCCAAAAUUAAAAAACAUAUAUACUACAAAGUUUUUAUAAAUUUGAAGGGGCUGGAAGUAUGUGACACCUAUAUAAUACAAGGAAAAUUUUUAAAACUUGGGGGGCCAUCGCUCCUACUAGUCCCACUUCCCUCUGCCAGUGAUUGAACCAGUGUAAAAAAUCCACUUUUUACACUAGUUGCAAAACUGGUGAAAAAGUCAAGACUUAUUCCACUCUCUCUUUCUAUACCGGUUCCAGAACCAGUGUUUUUUGUGGUAAUGAAUAAUUAAGGAGGGGUGGUUUGUUGUCAUUUAGUGAGGGAAGAAGAGUUAGUUGAAAUGGUGAUGACAUGUAAUAAUAAAAGGAAAGAGGAGGAGCAUUUAAGGGUGUAUGGUGUAUGGAACUUCAACUUUAGAGAGACUUAGAAGUAAAGUAUCCUAGUUUCCUAUAUUAAGCCAUAACAGAAACCCAAGACAAGCCUCACCCUCCUUUUUUUUUUUUUUGUCUUUUUGUUUUUGGUACAAGCUCUUCACUCUGAAGUUGAAGUUCAAUACACCCAUUAAUACUCUCUCUCUUCUCUUCUAUUAUUACAUGUCGUCAUCAUUUUACCUAACUCUUUCUCCCUCACUAAAUGACAAGUUGACAACAAACCACCUGGCUGCUUAAUUAUUUUUCUCACUUUUACCCCAUCCAUAAAUCACUUAAUUAAUAUUUGUAUUUGCACAUAAAAUUUUGCUGGUUAAUGUACAGCCGAGAAAGUAUCUUAGCUUGUUACAUGUGAUCAUGAGGGCUUAGCUUCUUGAUUCCUAGCCUACAGGAUGAGUCCGGCCAGAUUCAGGAUAUGUAUGAGUUUUGAGGUAUAUGGGGGGUGUGUGUGUGUGUGUGCAUGUCUGAUAAUGUGUGGUUGGGCUACAUGUCAAUUUUUUUCUGGUUUUGGUUGGGCAGUGUAUGGGCAAAUUUCUGUCUUGGGGAUGUAAAUGCAAUUAUGCAAGUUGAUCAUGCACGUUCAUUGAUUGCUGGGUUGUCAUUCCAUUUAUAUAAAGCGAGACGACUGGUAAUUCAAACAUAUGCACUGCUGGCUUUCGAUCUACCACACAUGCUAAAGCUUAUUUAAUUAAAACCUAGUUCGGCAAUGCUUAGUCACUCUGAACUAUCUACAUUUUCCUCGCUCGCUGUGUUUUGUACUCUCUUGCUGUCUCUUCGGUCACGCUGCUCGUCACCAUGGUUCCUCGUUUGGCAACGCAGUUCGCCCCAGUAUGCUUUCCUGUAGUCUCUCACUCUUUCCCUUCUUCGUUUCCCACCUCUCAUCAAAUUCCUUGAUUCUUCUUCUCUUAAUCUGUUUUUUAACUGCGUAUUGCUUUUGUCUUCCAGGAUUCGCUUUCGUUAUAUUCUAACCUCGAUUCAUGUUCCUUCCCCUCUUUUCUAUACGUAUGUAUGCCUAAUUCUGUUUAUGUAAUCUGGAGUAACUCAACUUUGUUUUUAACAUCUUUCUAGGGUUCUGGAUCCUCUGGAGGCUUCUUCUUAGGCAAACCGCAAGCAUUGUAGGGUCAUAUGGACAGGAUGGAAUCUGCAGGUUGCCUUUCCUUGUGAAAAGUGUAUUUCUUUUGUUUCCGUUUCUUCUUCUUGAAUUAUUUAAUUUUAUAGCUUUCUUAAAAAAUAAAAAAAAAUAAUUGAGCUGAACUACACCGUUUCCUUGAAAAGGAUGCGGGGAAUGAAGUUAUAUGAAGUGAAACAUCUAUUUUGGCAGGCUAGAAGGGAAAAGAUCAGCGAGAGGAUGAAGAUUCUUCAAGAUUGGUCCCUCGAUGUGACAAGGCAACGAUAGUUAUUUGUGGAAUCUAUGCUGGAUUAUUGCUUUGAAUUAUUUUUUCCUUAUCAUUUCUGUAACUAAAUGAUAAUAAAUAUUAGUUGUCUUAUCCCUUCAUAGACUGUUUCCCUUAUUGAAUUUUCCCUUAUUAAAUGAUAAUAAAUGUAUUUGGUUGAAUUUUCUUUUCCUGCAGCUAAUUAGUAAAGCAUUUGUCUUUUUCUGCGGUAAAUUCGAGAAUGUACAUGAACCCCACUAUUGAAGGGUUCCCUUCAAAAGGUGUAAGCCUGCUGACUUUAACCUAUGAUAAGCAUAUUUUCUUAAAUGAAAGCCAUUUCCAAUAGCAUACAUGGGAUUGAUUUUAAGCAUAUCGUCUUUUAAGUUUAACACUGCAAUUUUUCAGCCCUGGUUAUAAAUUGCCCUUUUCAUUGUUCAAUGCUUUGAUUUUCAUGUGUUGUUCGUGUUACAUCAUUUGUGAAAGUAUACUCUUCUCAUAACUGCUAUUAAGAUUGGUUUGCUUACUCAGAUUUACUUUUAUAUUCUAGUAUAUAUGCUACUCAUGUAUGAUUCUUUGGCAUGUGUUUUCACAAUGAAAUGCUGCAGAUUUUACUUCUCUUUCAUUUAACAAUCUAAUUUUCAUUCACGAUCUAACUUAUGCAUGACGCUGAACAAAUUGUUCCAAUUCAGAGCAAAUGCUAACUUUCCUUUCACUAACAAGAGAGUAAAUGUUAUUUCUGAAAUUGAAAAAUUAAUUCAUUUGAGUAUUUCUUGGAGACUCACUGCUUCUGGCCUCAAGUUGACUCACUGCAGUGGGAACCCCUUUUCGACUUGCCAAUUUAUAUCGUCUGCAUAACAAUAUAAUCGAUCUUCAGCUUCUUCAGCUGCUAUUUAGUGACUAUUACCAACAUCGAAUUGUUGUUGAGCCAUCAUGUUUUUCCUCUUCCGGACAUAGAAGGAAGGCAGUAGAUUCUUCAAUCCCACACGUCCAAGUGCCUUGUAAAAGGUUCUGAAGGCUGAUGAUGUUGAUAUAAUAAUGACCAUUGCGACAGGAAUGCCUUGGUUUUCUGGCGCGGAGCUUGCUAACUUGGUGAACAUUGCCACUGUCAAGGCUGCGAUGGAUAGUGCUAACGUUGUGAGCAUGACUAAUUUGGAGAAUGCGAAAGACAAUUUUUAUCGGAAGUGAGCGCAAGUCAGCUGUCAUAACUAAUUUUAUGGAAACCAGACUAAUUAUUGAACAGGUUGAAAUAUUAGUUCAUGGUUUAAUGGUCAAACUGGGGAUUUAACUAAAUUAAUAUAUUUAAAUAUAAUAGAGAAGCUUAUUUUUUUU
Prosopis cineraria is the source of this 4127-nucleotide long non-coding RNA. RefSeq lists it as uncharacterized. NCBI's taxonomy places the organism in Eukaryota, Viridiplantae, Streptophyta, Magnoliopsida, Fabales, Fabaceae. The record is from RefSeq and is a predicted model, not a curated record. The transcript has 4 exons.